AUACUUACCUGGCAGGAGAGAUACCCUGGUCACGAAGGUGGUUUUUCCAGAGCGAGUCUUAUCCAUUGCACUCCGGAUCUGCUGACCCCUGCAGUUUCCCCAAAUGUGGGAAACUUGACUGUAUAAUUUGUGGCAGUGGUAGACUGCAUUCGCGCUUUCCCCUG
This is a small nuclear RNA of Homo sapiens (human), 164 nucleotides long. Ensembl annotates it as RNA, variant U1 small nuclear 6. Its record names the gene RNVU1-6. The record is from Ensembl. NCBI's taxonomy places the organism in Eukaryota, Metazoa, Chordata, Mammalia, Primates, Hominidae.